Molecule: long non-coding RNA, 1833 nt
Filed under: Homo sapiens (human)
Lineage: Eukaryota; Metazoa; Chordata; Mammalia; Primates; Hominidae
Description: HSALNT0201387
Source: RNAcentral
CCGCCACGGGAGGAAGACAUGACUUUGGCUUUCCACCAUGAUUGUCAGGCCUCCCCAGCCACGUGGAACUGUAUAUUUUCUUGGAAUAGCAUCCUGGACAAUGAAGAAGAAAGACAUGUGGAGCCUGGGACAUUGAGGAACAUCACACAGCCACAGCACAGUGUUUACAUCCUCGUAUUUCCACUAACAUGUAGCUGCUGAACUCAAUCCUGGCCUAAAAUCAUAGCAUCCUGCCUGCGUAACUACUUCCAGAUGGAAACUCACUGUGUAGGGUGUAUGCUAUCCUAAGAUGGAGUUUUGCUCUGUCGCCCCGGCUGGAGUGCAGUGAGGCAAUCUCAGCUCACGCAACCUCUGCCUCCCAGGUUCAAAGUGAUUCUUUUUUAAAUGACUGUUAUUUUAACUAAGAUUUUAAAAAUGUAUACUAUGUAGCAAUGUUUAAUUUCUUAUCACAGGACCUAUCUUCCUUUACCUUCUGAUUUGAUUACAUUUAUUUUUCUACUCCAACUUUCAGUGCAUCAGGGUUUAGUUUUCCUGAAUUAACUACUAUGAAAUUGAUGGCUCUCUCUCACUGGUCUGCAUACAGCUACCUAAGUCCAGGUAGAAUAAGACUGAUCACUCCUUGGUAAGCUCCUUUGCUCAUUAGCAGACCCCUAUUACCCUUCUGUAGAACAGAGAAUCCCACGUGCAGUUUCCUUUUUUAUUUACGUAGCUCGUGUGCCGUUUUAAAAUUUUUGUCCUCCUAUCUGAUUUGCCACUGCAAAUUGCACACUACUAAAUGUUUCCUAAGGAAAAGGAGGUUAUGCAACAGAAAAUUGGAUCCCUACAAGUUAUUAAAUCCUUAGUGGUCACUUUGCUUUCAUCAUUUCACCUUUAAAUAAAGGCUGUAACAUUUACAAGCCACUAUGUGACUUGCACGCGUAAGAACACUGCCUGGCUAUUUACAGUACAUUGCCUCGCGAGAUGGGGGGUGAUUCCCUCUCGCAUUAAAAUGCUCAAAAGCAAUCAGCUGUGCUGCCUAUCAUACAAUCCAAGUAAGAUCAUAAAGGAAAAUAAGAAUUACGUUCAAAUUGUAUCAAAUUGUGUCCUACAUAGAAGGAUGACUGUGUUCACGUAAACAAAAAUAUUUUGGUAGAUGAAUUACUUGAUUUCUAGACUUUAUCUUAAAAUUCAUAGACUGCAUUUGCUUAAAAAGGCAGGGGGAGUAUUGAAAAUUUUGUAAAAUUCAUAAUGGCUCUAUAAAGAGAAGUUAUGAUUCAGAUGAAUUUUAAUUUCUUUCAGGCUAAUCACAAAAGUUCAGUUAAUUAACACCAAAAUAGCUUUUUUCACUCUCAUAGUAAAUAUACGAAAAUUUUACCUUGUACGGCAUUUUUAACAGCAUAGAUUUUUAUUUGCAAACUCAAGAUCCACGGAGAGGCAAUCCUGUUAAACUCAUUUUGACCACAGAAAUUAAUCCAUUCUACAGUAUUGCUCAUAGUAUUUAAAGGGCAGGGAGACCAAACACUGCCUGUCAAAAUCCUGCACAUGCCUGAUGCUAAGCUGCCAUCUGUGUCCUCAAGCCUUAGUGAAGUGUCACCACAGCCAUUGGCCCAAUGCUAAGUUCUGUGGCAGUACUUAAACUACUGUGUUUCGUACUAUAACUACCUAUAUCAUUUUGUUUUCUCCAAACACACAACCACAUGUUUAACUGAAGGUUCUUUGAAAUCAGACUGUGGGUCUAAAUUUUCUAAGUUAUAGCACCUAGUUCAGAGACCUAUGCACAGUAGACUCUUGGAGAAUGAAUAAAUCAUUGCACAUUUCAGGAAACCACUAAUACAUGGUAUUAAACUAUAUUAC